ACCCCGCUGGUGAGUCCUACAUAGGACGAAAUGCGCGUCAAACUGGAU
RNAcentral lists this non-coding RNA (48 nucleotides) under Schistosoma mansoni. The record is from RNAcentral. Lineage: Eukaryota; Metazoa; Platyhelminthes; Trematoda; Strigeidida; Schistosomatidae.